GACGAACGCUGGCGGCGUGCUUAACACAUGCAAGUCGAACGAAAAGUCAUUGAAAGCUUGCUGAUAUGAUUUUUAGUGGCGGACGGGUGAGUAACGCGUGAGGACUUGUCUUAUACAGGGGGACAACAGUUGGAAACGGCUGCUAAUACCCCAUAAGCCUUCGGGUAAAAGGAGCAAUCCGGUAUUCGAGAGACUCGCGUCCUAUCAGCUAGUAGGUGAGGUAACGGCUCACCUAGGCGAAGACGGGUAGCCGGCCUGAGAGGGCGAACGGCCACACUGGAACUGAGACACGGUCCAGACUCCUACGGGAGGCAGCAGUGGGGGAAGUAUUGGGCGAAUGGGGGCGAACCCUGACCCAGCGACGCCGCGUGAGUGAAGAAAUCCCUCAGGAUGUAAAGCUCUGUUGUGUGGGAAGAUAAUGACGGUACCACACGAGGAAGCCCCGGCAAACUAACGUG
Molecule: ribosomal RNA, 458 nt
Filed under: uncultured bacterium
Lineage: Bacteria
Description: bacterial SSU rRNA
Rfam family: Bacterial small subunit ribosomal RNA
Source: RNAcentral